GACGAAGGAUGCAAGCGUUAUCCGGAUUCAUUGGGUUUAAAGGGAGCGUAGGUGGCCUUAUAAGUCAGUGGUGAAAUCUCUCAGCUUAACUGAGAAAUUGCCAUUGAUACUGUAGGGCUUGAGUACGGAUGCCGUUGGCGGAAUAUGACAUGUAGUGGUGAAAUACAUAGAGAUGUCAUAGAACACCGAUUGCGAAGGCAGCUGACGAAACUGUAACUGACACUGAGGCUCGAAAGUGCGGGGAUCAAACAGG
This 253-nucleotide ribosomal RNA is filed under the name uncultured bacterium. RNAcentral's name for it is "partial 16S ribosomal RNA". It matches the Rfam family "Bacterial small subunit ribosomal RNA", at positions 524 to 776 of the family's 1533-position model. The record is from RNAcentral.